Long non-coding RNA from Oncorhynchus nerka (sockeye salmon), 2173 nucleotides. RefSeq lists it as uncharacterized. Lineage: Eukaryota; Metazoa; Chordata; Actinopteri; Salmoniformes; Salmonidae. The record is from RefSeq and is a predicted model, not a curated record. The transcript is spliced from 4 exons.
CAUUAUGUUAAUGGUCUCAAUGAUGAAACAUUUGACCUCAAUACAAAUUUUCUGUUCCCAAAACCGGAAUCUGAUACGAACAGAGUGGACUAAGUUUUGUAGAUUUUACCCUUUGCCAGAGUCUUAAAAACUUGCAUUGUUAAGAAGGACUACAUGGGAGAAUUGAGUUGUUGCACAAGCUAACGUCACAGAAUAGGCUUUCCCUAAUGGAAAUAUGCAAAUACCUGCUAGAAAGCACUACCCAUACACCGGCCUACAAUAGAAGUUUACACUGCUCAUUUUGCUCAUAUUUAGCAGAUUCCAGUUCCAGAUAUACACCUACUGUGUAAAUUCUACUCAGAUGCUACUUUAGACUGAGGGAGGAUUGCUGCGUAGUGGACGCAAGUUCCUGUUUUGCAGAAAAUGUGCUCCUUCACAUUCAGGUUGGUGGAUGGUGGUCUCAUGUUCCUGCUCCUCAGUUUGACUAGGAUUUCUGCCCAGAGAGAAAUGUCCUUAAACCCCACUACAAUAGGUCAUUACACAGAGUCCCCAUGUCAACUAUUUGACAAGUAUGAAACUACUGUGACAGAGGGGGAGGCCCUUAGUUUGCCAGCCUACUAUGACCUGAGUGAGUUGGUUUGGGCCAGCGUGACUGAGACUGUCUCUCGGUCCCUCUCUCUUCUCUCUCUCUCGGUCUCUCUCUCUGUCUCUCGGUCUCUCUCUGUCUCUCGGUCUCUCUCUGUGUCUGUCUCUGUCUGUCUCUCUCUCUCUUUCUCUCUCUCUCUCUCUCUCUCUGUCUCUCUGUCUCUCUCUGUCUCGCUCUCUGUCUCUCUGUCUCUCUGUCUCUCUCGGUCUCGCUCUCUCUCUCUCUCUCUUGGUCUCUCUCUCUCGGUCUCCCUCUCUGUCUCUCUGGGUCUCUCUGGGUCUCUCUGGGUCUCUCUCUGUCUCUCUCUCUCUCUGGGUCUCUCUGAGUCUCUCUCUGUCUCUGUCUGUCUCUCUCUCUGUCUCUCGGUCUCCCUCUCUGUCUCUCUGGGUCUCUCUGGGUCUCUCUCUGAGUCUCUCUCUGUCUCUGUCUGUCUCUCUCUCUGUCUCUCGGUCUCUCUCUCUGUCUCUCUCUCUCUUCUCUCUCUCUCUCUCUCUCUCGGUCUCUCUCUGUCUCUGUCUCUCUCUCUCCCUCUCUCUCUCGGUCUCUCUCUGUCUCUCGGUCUCUCUCUGUCUCUCGGUCUCUCUCUCUUCUCUCUCUCUCGGUCUCUCUCUGUCUCUCGGUCUCUCUCUCUCUCUCUCGGUCUCUCUCUGUCUCUCUGUUCCACCUAAUGCAAGACAAUGCUAGACUCAUGUGGCUGGAGUGUGUCAGCAGUUCCUGCAAGAGGAAGGCACUGAUGCUAUGGACUGGCCCGCCCGUUCCCCAGACCUGAAUCCAAUUGAGCACAUCUGGGAUAUCAUGUCUCGCUCCAUCCACCAACAGACUGUCCAGGAGUUGGCGGAUGCUUUAGUCCAGGUCUGGGAGGAUAUCCCUCAGGAGACCAUCCGCCACCUCAUCAGGAGCAUGCCCAGGCGUUGUAGGGAGGUCAUACAGGCACGUGGAGGCCACACACUACUGAGCCUCAUUUUGACUUGUUUUAAGGACAUUACAUCAAAGUUGGAUCAGCCGGUAGUGUGGUUUUCCACUUUAAUUUUGAGUGUGACUCCAAAUCCAGACCUCCAUGGGUUGAUAAAUUUGAUUUCCAUUGAUCAUUUUUGUGUGAUUUUGUUGUCAGCACAUUCAACUAUGUAAAGAAAAAAGUAUUUAAUACGAAUAUUUAAUUCAUUCAGAUAUAGGAUGUGUUAUUUUAGUGUUCCCUAUAUUUUUUUGAGCAGUGUAUAUUACUCCUAUAGAAUUUUCAAAAGAUCAAAAGAGUCCAUAUUAACAAAGGAAAUUGAAGGACUAACAGUACAGUUAGAUAGCAAUAAAAACGGUACUAAUAGAGGCACAGAAUAAGUUAGAGGAAAAAUAAAUUGAGGAACUUAUUCAAGAAAGAUCCCAUGUAAUAUAUUAUAAAAAUAAAGCGAACUGGAUGGAAUAUGGGGAAAAACGCACCAAAUUCUUUUUCAAUCUUCAAUAUAGAAAUGCUACCAACUUUUUUUUAUAGAAACGUGUAACAAAUGGAGUCAUGCAUGAUUCACCAAAUGAUAUUUUGAAAGAGGAAAUAAAGUA